CCGCGCCUCCACGCUCGCCACCUGUUCCAAAACUGAGAAUUCAUGAUAUAUAUCUAUAAAUUAUUAUUAUUAUUAUAAUAGCAUAUAUGUCAGGAACUUAAAAAAAUUCUAUGCAGUCUGACCUCUGGCUCAACUUCGCAAGCGGGCUCCGAAUCCAGCCCGUUGUGAGAGAACCAGGAGUUGCAAACCGGCUACCAAUAUGCUCUGUUAUCUCUUAGAAAAAACCGCCAAUGCCGUAGAGACUUUUCGGCUUAACAUUUCUGAAGGCUCAUUAUGUGUGAGUGAGUGAUAAAUUAUAAUGGCUAGAUUUAUUGUAUCUCUAGGUAUAUAAGUAGCGUGUGUAGCUAAGGCCUAAGUACACAAGUGUAUUGUAAUUUUCUUCUCUAAAUAUUCAGUUAAAAGAGUACUUCGUUUGGAUAGGGAAUAGAAAUAGGGAUAACCCCUUAUCCCUCCCUUUAUAUCCAAACGCUAAUUUUUUAUCCGAGAAUAAUAAUUCUCAGUUACCUAUAAUAACCGAAUAUAACUAUCCCUACCAACACAUUCAUUUUCUAUGUAAAACUACCUACUAUUUUUCUUAUUCUAUAUUAUGUAUUCAAACGUUAUUUUUCUUAUCCCCGGAAACAAUCCAAUUUUCAUCCAAACGCUAUUUUUCUUAUCCCCAUACUUAUACCUAUUCCUGUAAUAGCUGGUUCUUGCUUAUACCUUCGUUUUUUGAAUUAAUCUCUAUCUCUCUCUUUUCUUCCUUUUGCAUAUUUAGUCAUAAGAUGCGAAAGUCCGGACUAGCAACAGAGACAAAAACUUGUUUAUCUUUGCGGAAAAAAAUAGGCGUCAUACAGUCUUUGCGAACAAGAAAGCUAAGAUCGUGACAUAUAGCUACCUUGUCUCCAGAAGCACCUUCGAGAAGCACACAUGGGACUUGCAAGGGAGGCCUCAUGGAAGAAUUGAAAGCUCUUAAAUUUCACCGGUACUUCGUCAACAAUGGAAUUUGUCGGCAAUGUGAAGCGAGAAUCGGAAGCAAUAGAGAGUUUAACUGUGGUUACUCAUGUGAGGCAAAAUGUGCCGAUAAACAGAAUACUUCAGUAACAGUGAGCAGAUUUGUGAUAAGGCGGACAGCAUUGACUACUG
Molecule: long non-coding RNA, 1125 nt
Filed under: Ananas comosus (pineapple)
Lineage: Eukaryota; Viridiplantae; Streptophyta; Magnoliopsida; Poales; Bromeliaceae
Description: long non-coding RNA (ACOM_LNC007147)
Source: RNAcentral